This 253-nucleotide ribosomal RNA is filed under the name uncultured bacterium. Its description in RNAcentral is "partial 16S ribosomal RNA". It matches the Rfam family "Bacterial small subunit ribosomal RNA", at positions 524 to 776 of the family's 1533-position model. The record is from RNAcentral.
UACGAAGGGGGCGAGCGUUGUUCGGAAUUACUGGGCGUAAAGGGCGCGCAGGCGGCUCUGAAAGUCAGAUGUGAAAGCCCCGGGCUUAACCUGGGAACUGCAUUUGAUACUCUAGAGCUUGAGUACGGGAGAGGAGAGUGGAAUUCCCAGUGUAGAGGUGAAAUUCGUAGAUAUUGGGAAGAACACCGGUGGCGAAGGCGGCUCACUGGCGCGUAACUGACGCUCAUGCACGACAGCGUGGGGAUCAAACAGG